GCGUGAGGGAUGAAGGCCUUCGGGUCGUAAACCUCUGUCGAGAGGGAAGAACGAUCAUCGGUCGAACAGGCCGGUGGUUUGACGGUACCUCCAAAGGAAGCACCGGCUAACUCCGUGCCAGCAGCCGCGGUAAUACGGAGGGUGCAAGCGUUGUUCGGAAUCAUUGGGCGUAAAGCGCGUGUAGGCGGCUUGGUAAGUCGGGUGUGAAAUCCCGGGGCUCAACCCCGGAAUUGCAUUCGAAACUACCUCGCUGGAGUCCCGGAGAGGGUGGCGGAAUUCCCAGUGUAGAGGUGAAAUUCGU
Molecule: ribosomal RNA, 301 nt
Filed under: uncultured bacterium
Lineage: Bacteria
Description: bacterial SSU rRNA
Rfam family: Bacterial small subunit ribosomal RNA
Source: RNAcentral